This 297-nucleotide unclassified non-coding RNA is filed under the name Hevea brasiliensis (rubber tree). Lineage: Eukaryota; Viridiplantae; Streptophyta; Magnoliopsida; Malpighiales; Euphorbiaceae. The record is from RNAcentral.
GUGAAAUUCACGACAAAAUGAAAUGUGGGAUCUCGUUCGUCUUUCAGAGAUUUGGUUUCUUGAGGCCAAGUCUUGGAGAAUUACAGUUAAUUUUUUGCCAAAAAGCAUUUGAAUUCCUAUUUUCUUGCUAAUCAACCAAAUGGAUCAUUCGCGUUUCUUGCUAAACUGGAAAUAAAUAUUGAUUACGUUUCUCUUGUAGGAAGUCUUUGAUAAGUGGAAUUUUAAAAUUUGCAGUUUGUAUAUAUCUUGCUUGGGGUUUUGUUUUUGAAAUUGGUUGGUUGCUUCGGGGUUUCUGUG